This 465-nucleotide ribosomal RNA is filed under the name uncultured bacterium. RNAcentral's name for it is "partial 16S ribosomal RNA". It matches the Rfam family "Bacterial small subunit ribosomal RNA", at positions 28 to 507 of the family's 1533-position model. The record is from RNAcentral.
GACGAACGCUGGCGGCGUGCUUAACACAUGCAAGUCGAACGGAAAGGCCCUGCUUGCAGGGUACUCGAGUGGCGAACGGGUGAGUAACACGUGGGUGAUCUGCCCUGCACUUCGGGAUAAGCCUGGGAAACUGGGUCUAAUACCGGCUAGGAGCCAUUUUUAGUGUGAUGGUUGGAAAGUUUUUUCGGUGUAGGAUGAGCUCGCGGCCUAUCAGCUUGUUGGUGGGGUAAUGGCCUACCAAGGCGGCGACGGGUAGCCGGCCUGAGAGGGUGGACGGCCACAUUGGGACUGAGAGACGGCCGAGACUCCGACGGGAGGCAGCAGUGGGGAAGAUUGCACAAUGGGCGCAAGCCUGAUGCAGCGACGCCGCGUGGGGGAUGACGGCCUUCGGGUUGUAAACUCCUUGCGCUAGGGACGAAGCUUUUUGUGACGGUACCUAGAUAAGAAGCACCGGCUAACUACGUG